This is a non-coding RNA of Cordylochernes scorpioides, 71 nucleotides long. Lineage: Eukaryota; Metazoa; Arthropoda; Arachnida; Pseudoscorpiones; Chernetidae. The record is from the annotation of a GenBank genome assembly.
UGCAUCUGCCGGGAAUCGAACCCGGGCCGCCGGCAAGGCAGGCAAGCAUUCUACCACUGAACCACCGAUGC